RNAcentral lists this transfer RNA (75 nucleotides) under Nanobdellota archaeon. RNAcentral's name for it is "tRNA-Arg". It matches the Rfam family "tRNA". From Rfam's summary of the family: Transfer RNA (tRNA) molecules are approximately 80 nucleotides in length. Lineage: Archaea; Nanobdellati; Nanobdellota. The record is from RNAcentral.
GCCCACGUAGUUUAGCUUGGACAGAAUGUCAGGUUGCGGACCUGAAGAUCCGGGGUUCAAAUCCUCGCGUGGGCG